UGGGGAAUCGUCUAACGGCAGGACAACGGACUCUGACUCCGUCAAUCUAGGUUCGAAUCCUAGUUCCCCAGCCA
Molecule: transfer RNA, 74 nt
Filed under: Gammaproteobacteria bacterium
Lineage: Bacteria; Pseudomonadati; Pseudomonadota; Gammaproteobacteria
Also listed under: 2 other names
Description: tRNA-Gln
Rfam family: tRNA
About the family: Transfer RNA (tRNA) molecules are approximately 80 nucleotides in length.
Source: RNAcentral